GACUCCUACGGGAGGCAGCAGUGGGGAAUUUUGGACAAUGGGCGAAAGCCUGAUCCAGCAAUGCCGCGUGCAGGAUGAAGGCCUUAGGGUUGUAAACUGCUUUUGUACGGAACGAAACGGCUCCUUCUAAUACAAGGGGCUAAUGACGGUACCGUAAGAAUAAGCACCGGCUAACUACGUG
This 181-nucleotide ribosomal RNA is filed under the name uncultured freshwater bacterium. Its description in RNAcentral is "partial 16S ribosomal RNA". It matches the Rfam family "Bacterial small subunit ribosomal RNA", at positions 334 to 507 of the family's 1533-position model. The record is from RNAcentral.